Neolamprologus brichardi is the source of this 312-nucleotide non-coding RNA. The record is from RefSeq and is a predicted model, not a curated record. NCBI's taxonomy places the organism in Eukaryota, Metazoa, Chordata, Actinopteri, Cichliformes, Cichlidae.
GCUAUCCAUGGCAGUCUAUUAUAGGAGGGUAGGAGAUAAGAUAACACAGGCUAUACAUAAAACCCUCCAUCAUCACCUGGAUUGGAGUAAACCUACAUUCAGACAUGGCAAGCAAGAAAGCUUCCAACAAGAGGCAGAGGGGAGGACAGAAAUCCUCCUCAAAUGUCUUUUCCAUGUUUGAGCAGUCUCAGAUACAGGAGUUCAAAGAGGCAUUUGGUUGCAUUGACCAAGACAGAGACGGUGUUAUCAAAAAACAGGACCUGAAGGAAACUUAUGCACAACUGGGUAAGUUCUUUACUUCCAACAUUUGAU